RNAcentral lists this long non-coding RNA (451 nucleotides) under Oryza sativa Indica Group (long-grained rice). Its description in RNAcentral is "lncRNA OsPr106_03g0029940". The record is from RNAcentral. Lineage: Eukaryota; Viridiplantae; Streptophyta; Magnoliopsida; Poales; Poaceae.
CCUUCCUCCCUUUUUUCUUUUUGUGCAAAAUUGUAUAUUACAUGAAGAAAGCAAUUAUGAAUCACAAAAGAAGGAAUUUUAUUUGUACACUUAUCAGAUUUCAUUAAAUGAGAUAUUGGUAUGUACUUCAUAUUUGCAUGUUCUGCACUGUGAUCACAAAUUCACAAUCAGGUAUCGAUCAAUCUGCUUUUUCUCCUCUUCCUGUUUAGUAAAUAAGACCAAGGAAACUAAAUCUGCAUUUCCUCCAUUUCUCCCCAAUGCAGUUCUAGCAAAUUGUGGUACAAUCUUGAAUUUUAGUCAUGUCAUUGCUACGAGAAGUAAUGCACCGCUUGAAUCAAAACUUGAAAUUCUUCUUCAGGAAGCUGGGAGGGGAAAUAUACUUACAAUCAAGCAAAGAAUUAUGCAGCCUGCAGUUCCAGGAAAAAGGGCAUACCAGAGUUGCAAGUGGUGA